Long non-coding RNA from Dreissena polymorpha, 396 nucleotides. RefSeq lists it as uncharacterized. The transcript is spliced from 3 exons. The record is from RefSeq and is a predicted model, not a curated record. Lineage: Eukaryota; Metazoa; Mollusca; Bivalvia; Myida; Dreissenidae.
GCCAACUCACAUUUGCUGGGUACAGUUGCUCAUGUCCGAGUGGGUAUACAGGGAAGAACUGUCAGACAGACAUCAAUGAGUGUGCCACCAACCCUUGUUCUAAUGGCGGAACAUGCACAGACAAGGUCAACGGUUACCUGUGUGCCUGCAAACCUGAAUAUACAGGAGCAACAUGUGCAAGUCAAGUGAACUAUUGUGUCGGUGUUUCAUGCAGUGGUAAUGGAACAUGUAUGAAUAGGGAUCAAGGCCCAGGUUACAUGUGUAACUGCUUUCAAGGGUACACAGGCGCCAAUUGUGAGAGUCAGAUUAACUUCUGUGCCAGUCAACCUUGCCUGCAUGGUUCUAGCUGCAUACCGGCGUUGAAUACGUACAGAUGUGAGUGCUUGCCCGGAUGGA